UAUGAUUUUUUUUCUUCAAUACCGACCUGAUAGAAAGGACAAUAAAGGCCAGAAAACAAAAACAAAAAAAAAGUAAAUGAUCCAUUGAAGCAAAAAAGACCUUUAUUAGCAUUCUUUCUGUUCAUAUCAGAUGUUAAGAAGAAGGGGACGACUGGAAACAUAAUCAAGGCCGGGCAUUGCACUGGAUGACAGAAAAAUAAACAAGUACGUCUCUGAGAAUCCUGAAAUUUGGGACAUGCUGUCUUCAGAAUCCAUUUCGCCAACCGUUACUACGUGAACCACCUAGAGACUUGGGAGAAUUAUAUGAAGGGGACAACGCCAGAUCAAAUUUGUCUCAGACACAUGUGAAAGUAUAAUGCGGCAGAUGCGACCAGCCAUGGAUCUUUGAAUGGAAUAGAGAUUUGAGGCCUUUCUGACAAUUCCGGGAAAUGAGAGACAUGUAGGGAGACGCAAAAAAACAAUGGUCGAUGGUGAUGGUUACGAGAGAUGCAAAGAUAAUGGUGGAUGGAAUUGAUCGAGGGUGAACUAAAAAUUUCUUACUUCAUUUUCGUUUUGUUGUUUUUCUUUGAUUUCCAAUUACUGGUAAUUUGAUCUUUUUCGUGCAGGUGCAAGUGGAAUUGGUUUGUAGACGUAAAAAUGGACUGAAAAGACAUGUAUAUGUGUUCAAACGUUCAGUUGAUUGUAUUCCUAAAGCUUUUGUGGACUCCAAAAUGUGGUGUUUUUGGAGUUGGGAGGGAUAGGUGAAUACUUUGUUUUACUAUGAAUAUUGUGAACUCUAUUUUUUUUUUAUCGGUCUAACUCUUAAUAGUUUUAACAGAAUCAAUUGUAUGUUCUUAGAAUGUGACAUUCU
This is a long non-coding RNA of Papaver somniferum (opium poppy), 850 nucleotides long. RefSeq lists it as uncharacterized. The transcript is spliced from 4 exons. NCBI's taxonomy places the organism in Eukaryota, Viridiplantae, Streptophyta, Magnoliopsida, Ranunculales, Papaveraceae. The record is from RefSeq and is a predicted model, not a curated record.